ACUAAUCUGCACGCUAUCAUGUUCCAGUUCCAACCUCUUCGUAACUCACGCACCCCACCUCUCCUGAAAUCCCUCGAUUAGGAGUCGUUCCCCCUAACCACCACGACACUUGCAUCUCGCAAAAAUAAAAAUAAAAGAAAGAAUCACUCCCUCUCUCCCUCGAUCCCAUCUCUCGUGACUGCGUAGAUGGCGGCAGCGGCGGUGGCGCGAGGAUCUGAGGCGACGAUCCGGUCGAAGGAAUCUGCCGCCGGCGGGAGCGGCGGCCUGGAGGUGAACGAGCUCAGCAGAGGUAAACCGCGUACCAUAUGAAGGAGUUCCUGCCUAUGUACAAUGCCUUCACACUGGCAAAGCUUAAAAGUACUUUGUAGCUGCAAGCUGUUAGAUGCAAAAAGAAUACUUGUACCGCGUGCUAGCUAGGUGAGCACCUAAGCAUGCUGCAGGACGAUUUCAUCAACCCGGGGAGCCUGGAGUGCGUCCAGAGGGCGAACAAGAUGGCAAGCAAGUACUAGGGCAUCUCCUUACCUACCCGUUUGCCGUCCUUAUAUAGUUAUAUUACCACAUAGAGCAGCAAAAAAAUCUGCAAUUGCAUAGUUGCAGUCUCUGCGAUGGUAGAUGUUGCUUCUGUCUAGAUAUGGAUGCACUUUCGGCAUUGUAAGCUUAUUUUGUAUUGAUGGUUCUGUUCUUACUGUAUGAGAUGCAAAUAUGUAACAAUAUCCUUGACAAGGCAUUUGUUAUUUGGUUGUUCUUGUCA
Long non-coding RNA from Triticum aestivum (bread wheat), 751 nucleotides. RefSeq lists it as uncharacterized. Lineage: Eukaryota; Viridiplantae; Streptophyta; Magnoliopsida; Poales; Poaceae. The record is from RefSeq and is a predicted model, not a curated record. The transcript has 2 exons.